This 253-nucleotide ribosomal RNA is filed under the name uncultured bacterium. RNAcentral's name for it is "partial 16S ribosomal RNA". It matches the Rfam family "Bacterial small subunit ribosomal RNA", at positions 524 to 776 of the family's 1533-position model. The record is from RNAcentral.
UACGUAGGGUGCGAGCGUUGUCCGAAGUUACUGGGCGUAAAGCGCGCGUAGGCGGGCCAUUAAGUGAGAGGUGAAAUUCCAGGGCUCAACCCCGGAACUGCCUCUCAUACUGUUGGUCUUGAGUGAGGUAGAGAGAAGUGGAAUGGCUGGUGUAGCGGUGAAAUGCGUAGAUAUCAGUCGGAACACCGGUGGCGAAGGCGGCUUCUUGGGCCUUUACUGACGCUGAGGCGCGAAAGCCAGGGGAGCGAACGGG